This 513-nucleotide ribosomal RNA is filed under the name uncultured bacterium. RNAcentral describes it as "partial 16S ribosomal RNA". It matches the Rfam family "Bacterial small subunit ribosomal RNA", at positions 28 to 523 of the family's 1533-position model. The record is from RNAcentral.
GAUGAACGCUGGCGGCGUGCCUAAUACAUGCAAGUCGAGCGAACAGACGAGGAGCUUGCUCCUCUGACGUUAGCGGCGGACGGGUGAGUAACACGUGGAUAACCUACCUAUAAGACUGGGAUAACUUCGGGAAACCGGAGCUAAUACCGGAUAAUAUAUUGAACAGCAUGGUUCAAUAGUGAAAGACGGUUUUGCUGUCACGUAUAGCUGGAUCCGCGCCGCAUUAGCUAGUUGGUAAGGUAACGGCUUACCAAGGCAACGAUGCGUGGCCGACCUGAGAGGGUGAACGGCCACACUUGAGCUGAGGCACGGUCCAGACUACUACGGGAGGCAGCAGUAGGGAAUCUUCCGCAAUGGGCGAAAGCCUGACGGAGCAACGCCGCGUGAGUGAUGAAGGUCUUCGGAUCGUAAAACUCUGUUAUUAGGGAAGAACAAAUGUGUAAGUAACUAUGCACGUCUUGACGGUACCUAAUCAGAAAGCCACGGCUAACUACGUGCCAGCCGCCGCCGUAA